Molecule: ribosomal RNA, 110 nt
Organism: Fukomys damarensis (Damara mole-rat)
Lineage: Eukaryota; Metazoa; Chordata; Mammalia; Rodentia; Bathyergidae
Source: Ensembl
GUCUACAGCUAUAUCACCCUAAAUGUGCCUGAUCUCGUCUAAUCUCAGAAGCUAAGAAGGGUCGGGCCUGGUUAGUACUUGGAUGGGAGAAAAAUAGAACACAGAACAUU